Molecule: long non-coding RNA, 3976 nt
Organism: Oncorhynchus kisutch (coho salmon)
Lineage: Eukaryota; Metazoa; Chordata; Actinopteri; Salmoniformes; Salmonidae
Source: Ensembl
CAGGGAAUACCAGUACCAGAUCAAUGUGGAGCUAUAUACAGGGAAUACCAGUACCAGAUCAAUGUGGAGCUAUAUACAGGGAAUACCAGUACCAGAUCAAUGUGGAGCUAUAUACUGGGAAUACCAGUACCAGAUCAAUGUGGAGCUAUAUACAGGGAAUACCAGUACCAGAUCAAUGUGGAGCUAUAUACAGGGAAUACCAGUACCAGAUCAAUGUGGAGCUAUAUACAGGGAAUACCAGUACCAGAUCAAUGUGGAGCUAUAUACAGGGAAUACCAGUACCAGAUCAAUGUGGAGCUAUAUACAGGGAAUACCAGUACCAGAUCAAUAUGGAGCUAUAUACAGGGAAUACCAGUACCAGAUCAAUGUGGAGCUAUAUACAGGGAAUAUCAGUACCAGAUCAAUGUGGAGCUAUGUACAGGGAGUACCAGUACCAGAUCAAUGUGGAGCUAUAUACAGGGAGUACCAGUACCAGAUCAAUGUGGAGCUAUGUACAGGGAGUACCAGUACCAGAUCAAUGUGGAGCUAUAUACAGGGAGUACCAGUACCAGAUCAAUGUGGAGCUAUGUACAGGGAGUACCAGUACCAUAUCAAUGUGGAGCUAUAUACAGGGAGUACCAGUACCAGAUCAAUGUGGAGCUAUGUACAGGGAGUACCAGUACCAGAUCAAUGUGGAGCUAUGUACAGGGAGUACCAGUACCAGAUCAAUGUGGAGCUAUGUACAGGGAAUACCAGAUCAAUGUGGAGCUAUGUACAGGGAGUACCAGUACCAGAUCGAUGUGGAGCUGUGUACAGGGAGUACCAGUACCAGAUCAAUGUGGAGCUAUGUACAGGGAAUACCAGUACCAGAUCAAUGUGGAGAUAUAUACAGAGAUUACCAGUACCAGAUGAAUGUGGAGCUAUAUACAGGGAAUACCAGUACCAGAUCAAUAUGGAGCUAUAUACAGGGAAUACCAGUACCAGAUCAAUGUGGAGCUAUAUACAGGGAAUACCAGUACCAGAUCAAUGUGGAGAUAUAUACAGGGAAUACCAGUACCAGAUCAAUGUGGAGCUAUAUACAGGGAAUACCAGUACCAGAUCAAUGUGGAGCUAUAUACAGGGAAUACCAGUACCAGAUCAAUGUGGAGCUAUGUACAGGGAGUACCAGUACCAGAUCAAUGUGGAGCUAUAUACAGGGAGUACCAGUACCAGAUCAAUGUGGAGCUAUGUACAGGGAGUACCAGUAUCAGAUCAAUGUGGAGCUAUGUACAGGGAGUACCAGUACCAGAUCAAUGUGGAGCUAUAUACAGGGAGUACCAGUACCAGAUCAAUGUGGAGCUAUGUACAGGGAGUACCAGUACCAGAUCAAUGUGGAGCUAUGUACAGGGAGUACCAGUACCAGAUCAAUGUGGAGCUAUGUACAGGGAAUACCAGAUCAAUGUGGAGCUAUGUACAGGGAGUACCAGUACCAGAUCGAUGUGGAGCUAUGUACAGGGAGUACCAGUACCAUAUCAAUGUGGAGCUAUAUACAGGGAGUACCAGUACCAGAUCAAUGUGGAGCUAUGUACAGGGAGUACCAGUACCAGAUCAAUGUGGAGCUAUGUACAGGGAGUACCAGUACCAGAUCAAUGUGGAGCUAUGUACAGGGAAUACCAGAUCAAUGUGGAGCUAUGUACAGGGAGUACCAGUACCAGAUCGAUGUGGAGCUGUGUACAGGGAGUACCAGUACCAGAUCAAUGUGGAGCUAUGUACAGGGAAUACCAGUACCAGAUCAAUGUGGAGAUAUAUACAGAGAUUACCAGUACCAGAUCAAUGUGGAGCUAUAUACAGAGAUUACCAGUACCAGAUCAAUGUGAAGCUAUAUACAGAGAGUACCAGUACCAUAUCAAUGUGGAGCUAUGUACAGGGAGUACCAGUACCAGAUCAAUGUGGAGCUAUGUACAGGGAGUACCAGUACCAGAUCAAUGUGGAGCUAUGUACAGGGAAUACCAGAUCAAUGUGGAGCUAUGUACAGGGAGUACCAGUACCAGAUCGAUGUGGAGCUGUGUACAGGGAGUACCAGUACCAGAUCAAUGUGGAGCUAUGUACAGGGAAUACCAGUACCAGAUCAAUGUGGAGAUAUAUACAGAGAUUACCAGUACCAGAUGAAUGUGGAGCUAUAUACAGGGAAUACCAGUACCAGAUCAAUAUGGAGCUAUAUACAGGGAAUACCAGUACCAGAUCAAUGUGGAGCUAUAUACAGGGAAUACCAGUACCAGAUCAAUGUGGAGAUAUAUACAGGGAAUACCAGUACCAGAUCAAUGUGGAGCUAUAUACAGGGAAUACCAGUACCAGAUCAAUGUGGAGCUAUAUACAGGGAAUACCAGUACCAGAUCAAUGUGGAGCUAUGUACAGGGAGUACCAGUACCAGAUCAAUGUGGAGCUAUAUACAGGGAGUACCAGUACCAGAUCAAUGUGGAGCUAUGUACAGGGAGUACCAGUAUCAGAUCAAUGUGGAGCUAUAUACAGGGAGUACCAGUACCAGAUCAAUGUGGAGCUAUGUACAGGGAGUACCAGUACCAGAUCAAUGUGGAGCUAUAUACAGGGAGUACCAGUACCAGAUCAAUGUGGAGCUAUGUACAGGGAGUACCAGUACCAUAUCAAUGUGGAGCUAUAUACAGGGAGUACCAGUACCAGAUCAAUGUGGAGCUAUGUACAGGGAGUACCAGUACCAGAUCAAUGUGGAGCUAUGUACAGGGAGUACCAGUACCAGAUCAAUGUGGAGCUAUGUACAGGGAAUACCAGAUCAAUGUGGAGCUAUGUACAGGGAGUACCAGUACCAGAUCGAUGUGGAGCUGUGUACAGGGAGUACCAGUAACAGAUCAAUGUGGAGCUAUGUACAGGGAAUACCAGUACCAGAUCAAUGUGGAGAUAUUUACAGAGAUUACCAGUACCAGAUGAAUGUGGAGCUAUAUACAGGGAAUACCAGUACCAGAUCAAUAUGGAGCUAUAUACAGGGAAUACCAGUACCAGAUCAAUGUGGAGCUAUAUACAGGGAAUACCAGUACCAGAUCAAUGUGGAGCUAUAUACAGGGAAUACCAGUACCAGAUCAAUGUGGAGAUAUAUACAGGGAAUACCAGUACCAGAUCAAUGUGGAGCUAUAUACAGGGAAUACCAGUACCAGAUCAAUGUGGAGCUAUAUACAGGGAAUACCAGUACCAGAUCAAUGUGGAGCUAUGUACAGGGAGUACCAGUACCAGAUCAAUGUGGAGCUAUAUACAGGGAGUACCAGUACCAGAUCAAUGUGGAGCUAUGUACAGGGAGUACCAGUAUCAGAUCAAUGUGGAGCUAUAUACAGGGAGUACCAGUACCAGAUCAAUGUGGAGCUAUGUACAGGGAGUACCAGUACCAGAUCAAUGUGGAGCUAUAUACAGGGAGUACCAGUACCAGAUCAAUGUGGAGCUAUGUACAGGGAGUACCAGUACCAUAUCAAUGUGGAGCUAUAUACAGGGAGUACCAGUACCAGAUCAAUGUGGAGCUAUGUACAGGGAGUACCAGUACCAGAUCAACGUGGAGCUAUGUACAGGGAGUACCAGUACCAGAUCAAUGUGGAGCUAUGUACAGGGAAUACCAGAUCAAUGUGGAGCUAUGUACAGGGAGUACCAGUACCAGAUCGAUGUGGAGCUGUGUACAGGGAGUACCAGUACCAGAUCAAUGUGGAGCUAUGUACAGGGAAUACCAGUACCAGAUCAAUGUGGAGAUAUAUACAGAGAUUACCAGUACCAGAUCAAUGUGGAGCUAUAUACAGAGAUGACCAGUACCAGAUCAAUGUGAAGCUAUAUACAGAGAGUACCAGUACCAGAUCAAUGUGGAGCUAUAUACAGAGAUUACCAGUACCAGAUCAAUGUGGAGCUAUAGACAGGGAAUACCAGUACCAGAUCAAUGUGGAGAUAUAUACAGGGAAUACCAGUACCAGAUCAAUGUGGAGCUAUAUACAGAGAUUACCAGUACCAGAUC